RNAcentral lists this non-coding RNA (21 nucleotides) under Caenorhabditis elegans. Lineage: Eukaryota; Metazoa; Nematoda; Chromadorea; Rhabditida; Rhabditidae. The record is from RNAcentral.
UAUUGUUGACUUUCAAUUAAA